RNAcentral lists this ribosomal RNA (299 nucleotides) under Ctenophora environmental sample. RNAcentral describes it as "partial Eukaryotic small subunit ribosomal RNA". It matches the Rfam family "Eukaryotic small subunit ribosomal RNA", at positions 604 to 914 of the family's 1831-position model. Lineage: Eukaryota; Metazoa; Ctenophora. The record is from RNAcentral.
UUAAAGUUGUUGCAGUUAAAAAGCUCGUAGUUGGAUUUCUGAAGAGAGACUAAGUCCGUCCUCGUUGAUGGACAGAGUCUUCUUCUUCAUCCUUCUGUAAAAGAUUCAUGGCAUUCAAUUGCUGGUUUCUGGCACAGAUAUUUUACUUUGAGAAAAUUAGAGUGUUUCAGGCAGGCUUGGCCAGAAUACAUUAGCAUGGAAUAAUAAAAUAGGACUUUGACUCUAUUUGUUGGUUUAGAGUACAAAGUAAUGAUUAAUAGGGACAGUUGGGGGCAUUAGUAUUUAAUUGUCAGAGGUGA